Molecule: ribosomal RNA, 390 nt
Filed under: Bacillus sp. S2(2011)
Lineage: Bacteria; Bacillati; Bacillota; Bacilli; Caryophanales; Bacillaceae
Description: bacterial SSU rRNA
Rfam family: Bacterial small subunit ribosomal RNA
Source: RNAcentral
GAGAUAGGGCUUUCCCCUUCGGGGGACAGAGUGACAGGUGGUGCAUGGUUGUCGUCAGCUCGUGUCGUGAGAUGUUGGGUUAAGUCCCGCAACGAGCGCAACCCUUGAUCUUAGUUGCCAGCAUUCAGUUGGGCACUCUAAGGUGACUGCCGGUGACAAACCGGAGGAAGGUGGGGAUGACGUCAAAUCAUCAUGCCCCUUAUGACCUGGGCUACACACGUGCUACAAUGGAUGGUACAAAGGGCUGCAAACCUGCGAAGGUAAGCGAAUCCCAUAAAGCCAUUCUCAGUUCGGAUUGCAGGCUGCAACUCGCCUGCAUGAAGCCGGAAUCGCUAGUAAUCGCGGAUCAGCAUGCCGCGGUGAAUACGUUCCCGGGCCUUGUACACACCG